AACAAUGCCAGUCGAACGAGAAAGUGGAGCAUCCAUGAGUAAAGUGGCGCACGNGGUGAGUAACACGUGACUAACCUACCUUUUAGUGGGGGAUAACCUAGGGAAACCUGGGCUAAUACCGCAUAAUACCUACGGGUCAAAGCAGCAAUGCGCUGAAAGAGGGGGUCGCGGCCGAUUAGCUAGUUGGCGGGGUAAUGGCCCACCAAGGCAGUGAUCGGUAUCCGGCCUGAGAGGGCGCACGGACACACUGGAACUGAAACACGGUCCAGACUCCUACGGGAGGCAGCAGUGGGGAAUUUUGCGCAAUGGGGGAAACCCUGACGCAGCAACGCCGCGUGGAGGAUGAAGUCCCUUGGGACGUAAACUCCUUUCGAUCGGGACGAUAAUGACGGUACCGGAAGAAGAAGCCCCGGCUAACUUCGUG
This 424-nucleotide ribosomal RNA is filed under the name uncultured bacterium. Its description in RNAcentral is "bacterial SSU rRNA". It matches the Rfam family "Bacterial small subunit ribosomal RNA", at positions 50 to 507 of the family's 1533-position model. The record is from RNAcentral.